AACGAACGCUGGCGGCAUGCCUAACACAUGCAAGUCGAACGAGACCUUCGGGUCGAGUGGCGCACGGGUGCGUAACGCGUGGGAACCUGCCCUUAGGUUCGGAAUAACUCCCCGAAAGGGGUGCUAAAACCGGAUAAUGUCUUCGGACCAAAGAUUUAUCGCCUUUGGAUGGGCGCGCGUUGGAUUAGCUAGUUGGUAGGGUAAAAGCCUACCAAGGGGACGAUGGGUAGCUGGUCUGAGAGGAUGAUCAGGCACACUGGGACUGAGACACGGCCCAGAGUCCAACGGGCGGCAGCAGUGGAGAGUAUGGCACAGCGGGGGGGAGCCUGUGGUGACAACGUCGGGUGCGGGAUGAUGGGCUUAGGGUUGUGAACCGUUUUCAGGAGGGGAGAAGCUGGAGGUGACGGUACCUGCAGAAGAAGCACCGGCUAACUACGUG
RNAcentral lists this ribosomal RNA (439 nucleotides) under uncultured bacterium. Its description in RNAcentral is "partial 16S ribosomal RNA". It matches the Rfam family "Bacterial small subunit ribosomal RNA", at positions 29 to 507 of the family's 1533-position model. The record is from RNAcentral.